AUGGCAGGACCGGGCAGGACAGAAAUGUACUCGUGUUAGAGGAUUUGUGUGUAUUGACGCUGUUGAACUUGCGAUUUUAAAUCGGAGGAAUCAGAGUAUAUGCCAUUCUAUUGAAUAUAAAGGAGUAGUGUUUCAGUUGUAAUAAAAUGAGAGCGAAGUGGAGAAAGAAGCGAAUGCGGAGGCUGAAGCGAAAAAGGAGGAAGAUGAGGGCAAGGUCUAAAUAAACAGCAAGUGGGGGUCAAAAUAAGCAGUGAGUGACUACAGAUCACCACCUUGCCAGAAACCAACAACAGUGGGUAUGAGUUUCAAGCUGUAUGGAGUAUUGUUAAAGUCUGGGAUUGCUGUAUUGACAUUGACUUUCAAUAAAGGACAGUUUGUAUUUGCACUUUUA
Molecule: long non-coding RNA, 391 nt
Organism: Cryptotermes secundus
Lineage: Eukaryota; Metazoa; Arthropoda; Insecta; Blattodea; Kalotermitidae
Exons: 3
Source: RefSeq, a predicted model, not a curated record